GGUCUGAGGCAAUUAAGACCGCAGGUGUUCAUCAUUUUCCUUUCCGGUGUUGGUGACCGACAGGGCCGCCUGUCCCACGGGGGCCAGCCAUGAGACAGAGGAAGGCCAGCGAUCCGUACUGGGCUUUAUAUCCAUAUGUAGGUGAAGGAACAGAGAAGAAUCUGGAAGGAGACGCACCAGACUGGUGCCAAAGCAGGCCACACGGCCAAACUCAAAGUCACAGGCGAAGAGCGAUAUCCUGCCUCUUCAGUGGAAGACACCACAAAGCCUCACGAUGGAGCGUGGCUGUAAGGAGAGGCGAAGACUUGGGACCAUGAACGCAAUCUG
Molecule: long non-coding RNA, 327 nt
Organism: Prionailurus viverrinus (fishing cat)
Lineage: Eukaryota; Metazoa; Chordata; Mammalia; Carnivora; Felidae
Exons: 3
Source: RefSeq, a predicted model, not a curated record